GCUGGAUUCGCUAGUAAUCGCGCAUCAGCCACGGCGCGGUGAAUACGUUCCCGGGCCUUGUACACACCGCCCGUCAAGCCAUGGAAGCCGGGAGUGCCUGAAGUGCGUGAGCGCAAGCAGCGCCCUAAGGUAAAACCGGUGACUGGGGCUAAGUCGUAACAAGGUAAC
Molecule: ribosomal RNA, 168 nt
Filed under: uncultured bacterium
Lineage: Bacteria
Description: partial 16S ribosomal RNA
Rfam family: Bacterial small subunit ribosomal RNA
Source: RNAcentral